UAUAUGUUACUUAGGGCAACUUGAUUCAACAAAGAACUCAUGAGCAUGAGGCACACGCCUUAGUGCCUUGCCUUACACUGAAGUGCGCUUAAGCGAGCGAAGCGCUUUCCCUGAGCUUUUGAACUUCAGGGCUUAAGCGUGCCUUAAAUGAGCCUUUGAGAACGCUGGUUUAUUUUCCAGUCAAACUAAUUUACAAGUAACAAGCAACUCUAAACCUACAGAGUAAACUGACAGAGCAGAUUAAUGUGCAAACAAUACAUAUACA
RNAcentral lists this long non-coding RNA (265 nucleotides) under Nicotiana benthamiana. Its description in RNAcentral is "long non-coding RNA (NBEN_LNC034967)". The record is from RNAcentral. Lineage: Eukaryota; Viridiplantae; Streptophyta; Magnoliopsida; Solanales; Solanaceae.